ACCGCAGUAGCCCAGUUGGUAGUGGCGUCAGCAGUACAGUUGCCGAAAGUCGUAGGUUGAAAUCCUGCCUGCGGUG
This is a non-coding RNA of Phthorimaea operculella (potato tuberworm), 76 nucleotides long. The record is from the annotation of a GenBank genome assembly. Lineage: Eukaryota; Metazoa; Arthropoda; Insecta; Lepidoptera; Gelechiidae.